AGAAGCCCAAAUACUUUUAUUCCUUUUUGGUUUCCCUUACAUGGUGCGGACAGAGUAUGAUGCUUGUCUGAAAUACCUAAAGGCACAAGAAAAGCUACAUCUUAAUACUCAACUAAUGUUAUUCACUCAGAUUGUUCUCCUCACCUUCUACCAAUUUUCCUGUUCAUGUUCGCUACACUAUCCCCCACUCAAAAAAAUUACACAUCCGUGCAAAGGGAUAACAUAGGGAGGAUAGAAAAAUGAUCGAUACAACUCCCAACAACAUCUCUCCCGAAUUCAUCUCCAUCCUACCAAAUACGAGUGCAAAAUCUCCUGCUCCGUAGCCUCUGGACCAUGACAGAUGUAAAGAGAACAGUUGCCUGUUGUCGCCUCUGCUUCCCCUAUCCACCACAAAACAUGCAGAGCACUUAGAAAUUCCACAUGAUUUAGAGAACAACACGUACAAGAUUAAGAUAGCUACACCUUCAUUCGGAGAAAAAAAAUCACCACGUUCCUCGCCCGCCGCUAGCAAACACCAAGCAUGAUUCGGAAGUGCUGGAUUCGGAUUUUGAAAAUGAACUGGGAAAAGUGCUAAUGAAGGGAUAAUGGGGGAGAGGGCAGCUAACUGAUGUGGUUCUCUGGCCAGCGGUGGCCGGCGGGAGGAGACGAUGAGUGGCGGCGCUCAGAUUUGGGGAGGAGGCGGUAGAGAAAUUGUAUGGUCGUAGGGGAGUGGUGCACUGCCUAGGAGGCCAGCCUAACGGGAAGCUGCAAGGAGGCGAGGGAGCCGGCUAGAACCCUAGCUCGUGCCCUUCUCUGUUGUGGUCCGUGGGGUGGCGGCGCACCACCGGGGAGGC
RNAcentral lists this long non-coding RNA (833 nucleotides) under Triticum aestivum (bread wheat). RNAcentral's name for it is "long non-coding RNA (TAES_LNC010186)". Lineage: Eukaryota; Viridiplantae; Streptophyta; Magnoliopsida; Poales; Poaceae. The record is from RNAcentral.